CCUACGGGAGGCAGCAGUGAGGAAUAUUGGUCAAUGGGCUUACGCCUGAACCAGCCAAGUCGCGUGAGGGAAGACUGCCCUAUGGGUUGUAAACCUCUUUUGUCAGGGAGCAAUUGGCGCUACGUGUAGCGUUAUCGAGAGUACCUGAAGAAAAAGCAUCGGCUAACUCCGUGCCAGCAGCCGCGGUAAUACGGAGGAUGCGAGCGUUAUCCGGAUUUAUGGGGUUUAAAGGGUGCGUAGGCGGAAUGCCAAGUCAGCGGUAAAAUCGCGGGGCUCAACCUGGCUCCGGCGUUGAAACUGGCGGUGGUGAGUGGGCGAGAGUUAUGCGGAGUGCGUGGGGUAGCGGGGAAAUGCAGAGAUAUCACGAAGAACUCGGAUGGCGAAGGCAGCAUACCGGCGCCCAACGGACGUGGAAGCACGAAGGUGUGGGUAUCGAACAGGAUGAGAGACCCGGGUAGGC
RNAcentral lists this ribosomal RNA (460 nucleotides) under uncultured bacterium. RNAcentral describes it as "partial 16S ribosomal RNA". It matches the Rfam family "Bacterial small subunit ribosomal RNA", at positions 338 to 795 of the family's 1533-position model. The record is from RNAcentral.